UGGGGAAUAUUGGGCAAUGGGCGAAAGCCUUACCCAGCAACGCCGCGUGAGGGAAGAAGGUUUUCGGAUUGUAAACCUCUGUCCUGGGGGACGAAGGAAGUGACGGUACCCCGGGAGGAAGCCCCGGCUAACUACGUGCCAGCAGCCGCGGUAAUACGUAGGGGGCGAGCGUUGUCCGGAAUUAUUGGGCGUAAAGGGCGCGUAGACGGCCGAGUAAGUUAUAGGUGAAAGCCCAUCUUCAUGAGUGGAAUUGCCUGUAAUACUGCCUGGCUUGAGUGCAGGAGAGGGAAGCGGAAUUCCUAGUGUAGCGGUGAAAUGCGUAGAUAUUAGGAGGAACACCAGUGGCGAAGGCGGCUUUCUGGACUGUAACUGACGUUGAGGCGCGAAAGCGUGGGGAGCAAACAGGAUUAGAUACC
This 416-nucleotide ribosomal RNA is filed under the name uncultured bacterium. Its description in RNAcentral is "bacterial SSU rRNA". It matches the Rfam family "Bacterial small subunit ribosomal RNA", at positions 355 to 786 of the family's 1533-position model. The record is from RNAcentral.